UCCCAGACUCCUACGGGAGGCAGCAGUGGGGAAUAUUGCACAAUGGGGGAAACCCUGAUGCAGCGACGCCGCGUGAGUGAAGAAGUAUUUCGGUAUGUAAAGCUCUAUCAGCAGGGAAGAAAAUGACGGUACCUGACUAAGAAGCCCCGGCUAACUACGUGCCAGCAGCCGCGGUAAUACGUAGGGGGCAAGCGUUAUCCGGAUUUACUGGGUGUAAAGGGAGCGUAGACGGCAGAGCAAGUCUGAAGUGAAAGCCCGCGGCCCAACUGCGGGACUGCUUUGGAAACUGCCCGGCUAGAGUGCUGGAGAGGCAGGCGGAAUUCCUAGUGUAGCGGUGAAAUGCGUAGAUAUUAGGAGGAACACCAGUGGCGAAGGCGGCCUGCUGGACGAUGACUGACGUUGAGGCUCGAAAGCGUGGGGAGCAAACAGGAUUAGAUACCCGUGUACCC
Molecule: ribosomal RNA, 449 nt
Filed under: uncultured bacterium
Lineage: Bacteria
Description: bacterial SSU rRNA
Rfam family: Bacterial small subunit ribosomal RNA
Source: RNAcentral